Corylus avellana is the source of this 110-nucleotide non-coding RNA. NCBI's taxonomy places the organism in Eukaryota, Viridiplantae, Streptophyta, Magnoliopsida, Fagales, Betulaceae. The record is from RefSeq and is a predicted model, not a curated record.
UCAAAAGUUUUUGACGUGUUAAUUUAACACGUCAAAACUUUUUGACGUGUUAAAAGAAAACACGUCAAUAAUAUUUUUUUUGACGUGUCUAAGCAGACACGUCAAAAGCU